GAUGAACGCUGGCGGCGUGCCUAAUACAUGCAAGUCGAGCGUAGCGGAACCUAACAGAUUUACUUCGGUAAUGACGUUGGGAAAGCGAGCGGCGGAUGGGUGAGUAACACGUGGGGAACCUGCCCCUAAGUCGUGGGAUACCAUUUGGAAACAGGUGCUAAUACCGGAUAAGCGCACGUCAUCGCAUGAUGGUGUAGUGAAAAACUCCGGUGGUAUGAGAUGGACCCGCGUCUGAUUAGCUAGUUGGUAAGGUAACGGCUUACCAAGGCAACGAUCAGUAGCCGACCUGAGAGGGUGACCGGCCACAUUGGGACUGAGACACGGCCCAA
RNAcentral lists this ribosomal RNA (329 nucleotides) under uncultured bacterium. RNAcentral describes it as "bacterial SSU rRNA". It matches the Rfam family "Bacterial small subunit ribosomal RNA", at positions 28 to 334 of the family's 1533-position model. The record is from RNAcentral.